GAACUUUCCAGAGAUGGAUUGGUGCCUUCGGGAACUGUGAGACAGGUGCUGCAUGGCUGUCGUCAGCUCGUGUUGUGAAAUGUUGGGUUAAGUCCCGCAACGAGCGCAACCCUUAUCCUUUGUUGCCAGCGGUCCGGCCGGGAACUCAAAGGAGACUGCCAGUGAUAAACUGGAGGAAGGUGGGGAUGACGUCAAGUCAUCAUGGCCCUUACGACCAGGGCUACACACGUGCUACAAUGGCGCAUACAAAGAGAAGCGACCUCGCGAGAGCAAGCGGACCUCAUAAAGUGCGUCGUAGUCCGGAUUGGAGUCUGCAACUCGACUCCAUGAAGUCGGAAUCGCUAGUAAUCGUGGAU
This 356-nucleotide ribosomal RNA is filed under the name Escherichia coli. Its description in RNAcentral is "bacterial SSU rRNA". It matches the Rfam family "Bacterial small subunit ribosomal RNA", at positions 993 to 1349 of the family's 1533-position model. Lineage: Bacteria; Pseudomonadati; Pseudomonadota; Gammaproteobacteria; Enterobacterales; Enterobacteriaceae. The record is from RNAcentral.